Long non-coding RNA from Lolium rigidum, 3100 nucleotides. RefSeq lists it as uncharacterized. Lineage: Eukaryota; Viridiplantae; Streptophyta; Magnoliopsida; Poales; Poaceae. The transcript has 2 exons. The record is from RefSeq and is a predicted model, not a curated record.
GUCAACGCCCCGUAGCGCGUCGUCCUGGAGUGGAUCGAUGUACGCCGUGGUGUAAACACCAGUCCCCACCACCAACCAAUACCAGCGGCAGUACAUUUGGAUCUGCUGCCGCUACUGCUCCUUCCUGGUCUGGAGUCUGGACACCUCACUCCGCCAGUCCGCCUCCCCCUCCACCUCCUCCAGUGCCCCUAGGGUUCCCCUCUCGGCUGCUCGCGUGCCGCGGGGUUCCGAGGAGGGUUGUGCUGCUCGUUGCUCCGGGGUCACCCGAAUCAGGCCUCGCCGGAGCCUAUUUCCUCGGGCGGUUUGGGCGUUUCUGGGCUCUAGAUCGAGGUCUGCUAGCUCGCUGCACUCAAUGCCACAGAGGUUGGGCGUCAAUUGCUAGGGUUUUGCUCGCGGAUUUGCGGAGAGAGAGAGAGCCGGGGAUCGUCUCGAAUGCGGCGGCAUAUCCGCGGUCCGUUGCUUGGUUUGGUUUUCUCAGAGCAGCGCAUCCUCGAUUUGGUUUCCUGCUAAACUCGUGAAGGCGAGGAGGAGGGGUUUUGGGGGAGAAUUUGGUGAUUCGGUUGCAAUAUCUGGGUCUAGCUCAAGUGGGUGGCUGUCACCGGCGUCUGGCGGCGGAGACUCUGAGCCGAGGUCCGCGGGGAGCAGGACCAGGUCUGUGUCUGCUAUCCGGGGCUGGAAGGCGUCACAGAGGCAUGGGAGGGAUUCCGUCGCCACAGCAGCAGUGGAAGAGAAGAAGCCAGCUGCCGUGCCUACAUUGCUGCCGUCCCUCAGCGUACCCACAGGGAUGCGCCGGCAGGAGCUGCUGCGCUCAGGGUUCUCUCUUGACGUGUCGUGCUCAUUGGACGCGUCGACGGACUCGUUCUGCAGCCGAGCGUCCACAGGGCGGAUUGGGAGGCCGGUGUUCGGGCCGAGGAAGAAGAAGGCCAUCUCUUAGACUGAUCAUAAGCUUCUCCGGGUUACGCUUCUGGUCUGAAGAGGAGGUGUGCGUGGGUGACAGCAAAUACAGGUGCGUAUUUUUCCGCAUUUUCUUUAACCACUGCCCUGUUGAACAUACAAGCCUGCAAUUCAUCUAGCACAAUCGUUUUUGUACUGCGGUAGUGUUUUUGUUGUAGGAAGAGGUAAUCUCCAUCAGAUCUACUCCCUCCAUUCCCAUGUAAUCGACAUGAGCUACUCCCGGCCUAUGUAGUAUGCACGUACACGUGCACGUUGAUGAAAUCGCCGAGGGACUACAAUUCAGAUUAGAGGUUCCAUUUUUUGUUGAGUAUAAAAUGCUUCUAGAUCCUAGAUGAUGCCAACCUGGGACCAGGACUUUAUCAUUAAUUUUUGUUCAAAGCAUUGCAGGGCUCUCUGAUCUUUAGAAUUUCAACUGUUAUGAAGAGAUGUUAUUUCUGUGUGUUAUAUACUUAAGUUGCAAUGACUAAGAAUAUGAUCAAGUAGCAUUGGCCUUCAUCAUACAUCUAAAGAUGCAUCGGCCUUCUCUACUGCUGAUCAUGGUUGGUCUGUACCAGACUGCACCACAGUUGGAUUAAAGGUGUCUUUCCCAUUACGGAAUAUAUAUUGUCAUGAUCUAUACAGAGAAAAGUUUUAGAAGUAGUUUAGGAUGAAUGGACAUUACCUCAAUAUUUGCUAGGGAAUUUCUGUUUCUUCUACAACAAAUGGUCAUUGUUAUUGUGAUGGGAUUGUAAAUUACUGUUUUCCCUCUUAAACUAGCUCAUGAUUGCAUAAAAAUGCUUAGGUAAAUUAUUGGUAUUUUCUGGACAAAUCAAUUCAUUUUUUGAUUAUUUUUUAUGUUACUUAUUUAUGAAAGGUUCUUCACGACUUCCAUUGGAGACGUUAGUUACUGGUAUCAUCACACAUCUAAAGGUGCAUAUGGACCUUCUCCACUGUAGAUCAUUGUUGGCCUGUACCAGACUGCGCAACAGUUGGAUUGAACGUAUCGCUGCCAUUACGAAAUAUUAUGAUGGCACUAUGGCAGUUAGUGGUCCAUUAUCUAUAGAGCGUUUUCUCUACAGAACAAUGUUUGUUCACAUUCCAAGGGGAUUUCGUGGAUCGGCUCCUUCAUGCUCAGUUUCUAGGAGAGCACUAGCAGUGUAUAUGGAACAUCGUUGGCAGGUCAGUUGAUAUUGACCAUUCUAAUGGUGGCGACCUGUGUACCUGGGUAUACUACAAUUCAUUUGAGUGUGUCGAGGGCAACAAAACUAAAUUUAAUUGAUAUUGUGAAAAUUUUCCCUUAAAGGCUUACAUACAUUUUCCUACUACAGUUCAGAUAUUCAGCAAACAUCCUCCGUCCAAUGCUCCCUUUGAGUCUUGGUUCAGGAAGUGGCUCUUAAUUUUUGGUGUUGGUGUCUUGCGAGAUUCAUUAAAUGUUCAGGAACAAAAUUUAUUUUGGCACUUGGUACACACGGUUUUUUGCUCAUUAACAUCAUAUACCAAAUUGUUUAGUGUUCUGAAUUAUUGGAGGUACACUCAGUUUGAGAUCGGUUUUCUUAGUGCCAACUCCAGUUCAUGGUGGCAUGUUCUUUCCAGGUAGUGUUUAACUGCAUAUUGUUAUUGUAACACACCAUGAUUAUGUGUCGUUAAUUUUUGCGGCUGGUGUCUUGCGAGAUUCAUGAUUAUGUGUCUUCUAUCCGGUCAUCACGGCCAGCAGGACAACAGGGGCAUAGCCUACUGGCCUACAUCACAACGUUCUCCUCCAUGUUUUAAGAGUUAAUGGAGUUCACGGAGGCACAUGCCAAAGAGGCGGGAGCCAGCGAGAAAGAUAAAGAUCUCAAUGGAGCUAGAAGGUGGACUGGCGCUCAUGAGCAAGCUGCAGAUGUUUUAAUUAAAAGAUAACCAAAGCAAGAAUUUAAAUAGGUUAGAUGGUCUUUAGAACUCACAAAGGAUUCACAUGAUAUAACUUUUUCGUUUCGGAAACUAUUACAAUUCUUCCUGGUGAGUACUUCAAGUAGAAGAUGGAAACAUAGGAACAUGUGCUAAGAGGCGAAGCAACAUAAUCCAGUUCAGUGGCAUGGCUUUCUCUAUUUUCUUAGAAAAUCGGGGUGAUUCUUCUGUUUGCUGCUACAAUCCCCGAGUGAAUAAUGAGCUUUUCUCAUGUCACAAA